AAUCGGGAGCUAUCAUGCAAGUCGAGGGAGAAACUUAGCUUCGGCUAAGAGGAAACCGGCGAACGGGUGAGUAACGCGUACACAACCUACCCUUAACAGGGGGAUAGCCCUGGGAAACUAGGAUUAAUACCCCAUAAUAUUGAUUGAUUGCAUAUGAAGUCAAUUAAAGCUCCGGCGGUUAAGGAUGGGUGUGCGUCCCAUCAGCUAGUUGGUAGGGUAAUGGCCUACCAAGGCAAAGACGGGUAGGGGGCGUGAGAGCGUGACCCCCCACACUGGUACUGACACACGGACCAGAUACCUACGGGUAGCAGCAGCAAGGAAUAUUGCCCAAUGGACGAAAGUCUGAGGCAGCAACGCCGCGUGGAGGAAGAAGGCUUUCGGGUUGUAAACUCCUUUUCUGGGGGAAGAGAAAGGACGGUACCCCAGGAAUAAGUCUCGGCUAACUACGUGCCAGCAGCCGCGGUAAAACGUAGGAGGCGAGCGUUAUCCGGAUUUACUGGGCGUAAAGCGCGUGCAGGCGGCUUUCUAAGUCGGACGUGAAAGCUCCCGGCUCAACUGGGAGAGGUCGUUCGAAACUAGGAAGCUUGAGGGUGGUAGAGGAGAGUGGAAUUCCCGGUGUAGUGGUGAAAUGCGUAGAUAUCGGGAGGAACACCAGUGGCGAAGGCGGCUCUCUGGGCCACUCCUGACGCUAAGACGCGAAAGCUAGGGGAGAGAACGGGAUUAGAAACCCCGGUAUUCCUAGCCGUAAACGAUGUCAACUAGGUGUAGGGGGUAUCCAACCCCCCUGUGCUGUAGCUAACGCGUUAAGUUGACCGCCUGGGGACUACGGCCGCAAGGCUAAAACUCAAAG
RNAcentral lists this ribosomal RNA (850 nucleotides) under uncultured bacterium. RNAcentral describes it as "bacterial SSU rRNA". It matches the Rfam family "Bacterial small subunit ribosomal RNA", at positions 40 to 906 of the family's 1533-position model. The record is from RNAcentral.